AUAUCGCAGUGGAACAAGCCUAAUCAUGGAUUUUAAUGCAAUUAACCAGUAGUUACGAAUAGAAUAGAAAUUUUAAAGACACGCGUUAUAUAAACGUGUGAAACUGCACAAGUGUCAAACGUAUCUGGUAGCCAUGAGGCUUCGGGGCAAGGAAAUGAUGCUAUAAAUCCCUCGAAUGCGGAUAGAAAGUUAAAUUUAUCCGAGUAGGACAAAUUGAUCUUGCGGGAAUUAUUUUUAAGCGUAUUAUAGAUUAAUUGCAAAUAAUUUCAGAAUUGUUGAUCCGACUUUUUUUUUACCGUUAUUUUCAUGUGCGAUCAUAAAAAUGCAACGUCACGAUAAUAUAAUCCACCACGAAACAAUAUACGUCACGUAUUCUUUAAUGAUAAUUUUAGCACGAUUCUAUCUCUUUUCUCACAGAAGAAACUGGAUUAUCAAAGCACAGGGGACGGUUACACACACGCGUGCAAAAAAUCCGGAAACGUAUCGAAAAGGUGAACGCCAUACGAAGACAAGAAACGAGUAUCUGCGAAGAGAUGGCGAAAGGGCAACGGAUCUACGUUGCGCAGCGGAGAGACCUCCGAAGAAGAAGAACAAGAAGAAGAA
This is a long non-coding RNA of Apis dorsata (giant honeybee), 603 nucleotides long. RefSeq lists it as uncharacterized. The record is from RefSeq and is a predicted model, not a curated record. Lineage: Eukaryota; Metazoa; Arthropoda; Insecta; Hymenoptera; Apidae. The transcript is spliced from 2 exons.